This is a long non-coding RNA of Mytilus californianus (California mussel), 1043 nucleotides long. RefSeq lists it as uncharacterized. NCBI's taxonomy places the organism in Eukaryota, Metazoa, Mollusca, Bivalvia, Mytilida, Mytilidae. The record is from RefSeq and is a predicted model, not a curated record. The transcript is spliced from 3 exons.
CAACAUUUGUGGAGUUUAUCGUGACACAAAAUUAUAAAGAAUCGUUCCUCAGCAGAAAAUGAAGUAUGCAGUAAUAUUCGUUGUGUUUGUUGUUUGUCUUUUAGGGUUAAAAGAUGUAAAGGCAUCAUGGAAUCCAGACCUUACCAUGACAAAGGAUCAGUGCUCGAAAGUAGUGAAUGGUUGUAAUUCACAAAACAAGGACAAAUUAAAGAAUGCCAAAAAGAACUGUUUAGACUGCUGUGACAGAUCGGGAUGUUAUCAUGGGAAAUGUUCCGGCAAGAAAAAUAAGAAGAAAUGCGUUUGUGAAAAAUGUUGAAUAAUACGUGUUAUGAUAUAGUAGGACUGAGAAAUCAGAGAUGCCUAUAGAUUUUCUUUAUCUCUUACCAACGGAAUAUCUAUAUUAACCAUAGGUCCUGCAUUUGUAAAACCAGGAUUAUCUAAAUUGUAUUUCAAUAUUAGAUCUCAUAUUGUUUCAUAACUUAACAUUUAUCAUAGUAUUUUAUUAUCAUUCUCUACGAACCCCACCAAAUACCCGGGUAAUCUUAGGUUCUCCGGAAGGAUAAGCAGAUUUUGCUCCACAUAUGGCAUGCUCCGUCUUGUUGCUCAUGUAAGUACAAACCAAGUGAUAAGUCUUAUUCGGUAGGUCACAUUCGAGGAAAAGAGGAAGGGAUUAUGGUUACGACAAUUGGAACAUAUCUAAAAUGAUUGUAUCUUCUCUUGUUUUUCAUUUAGAUUGUCGGCCAAAUUUUGACUGUAUUUGUUAGAUUUUAUUGUGUUCUUCAAUGUAAUAUCUGUGUUCUUCAAUGUAGUAGCUGUCUUCAAUGUAUAAUAUAUGUGUUCUUCAAUGUAAUAUCUGUGUUCUUCAAUGUAAUAUAUGUGUUCCUCAAUGUAAUAUAUGUGUUCCUCAAUGUAAUAUGUGCGUUCUUCGAUGUAAUAUCUGUGUUUUUCAAUGUAAUAUCUGGUUCUUCAAUGUAAUAUCUGCGAGAAGAUUCUAUAGCUUAACAUAGCUGCGGAAUUUUCUAAUAAAUGUUGUUUUUGAAAUA